UCCUAGUAGCUCAGUUGGUAAAGAAUCUGCCUGCAACGCAGGAGAUCCAGGUUCGAUCCCUGGUUGAGGAA
This 71-nucleotide transfer RNA is filed under the name Ovis aries (sheep). It matches the Rfam family "tRNA". From Rfam's summary of the family: Transfer RNA (tRNA) molecules are approximately 80 nucleotides in length. Their secondary structure includes four short double-helical elements and three loops (D, anti-codon, and T loops). Lineage: Eukaryota; Metazoa; Chordata; Mammalia; Artiodactyla; Bovidae. The record is from Rfam by way of RNAcentral.